RNAcentral lists this ribosomal RNA (253 nucleotides) under uncultured bacterium. RNAcentral's name for it is "partial 16S ribosomal RNA". It matches the Rfam family "Bacterial small subunit ribosomal RNA", at positions 524 to 776 of the family's 1533-position model. The record is from RNAcentral.
UACGUAGGGUGCGAGCGUUAAUCGGAAUUACUGGGCGUAAAGCGUGCGCAGGCGGUUCGCUAAGACAGAUGUGAAAUCCCCGGGCUCAACCUGGGAACUGCAUUUGUGACUGCACGGCUGGAGUGCGGCAGAGGGGGAUGGAAUUCCGCGUGUAGCAGUGAAAUGCGUAGAGAUGUGGAGGAAUACCAAUGGCGAAGGCAGCCCCCUGGGUUAACACUGACGCUCAUGCACGAAAGCGUGGGGAGCAAACAGG